RNAcentral lists this transfer RNA (78 nucleotides) under Thermoproteota archaeon. RNAcentral describes it as "tRNA-Arg". It matches the Rfam family "tRNA". From Rfam's summary of the family: Transfer RNA (tRNA) molecules are approximately 80 nucleotides in length. Their secondary structure includes four short double-helical elements and three loops (D, anti-codon, and T loops). The record is from RNAcentral. Lineage: Archaea; Thermoproteati; Thermoproteota.
GGGCCCGUAGCUCAGCAUGGAUAGAGCGCCGGCCUCCGGAGCCGGAGGUCGGGGGUGCGAGUCCCCCCGGGCCCGCCA